UCUAACACAUGACACGUCGAACGGUAACAGGAAUUAGCUUGCUAAUUUGCUGACGAGUGGCGGACGGGUGAGUAAUGCUUGGGAAUUUGCCUUUGCGAGGGGGAUAACAGUUGGAAACGACUGCUAAUACCGCAUGAUGUCUACGGACCAAAGGGGGCUUUUAGCUCUCGCGCAAAGAGAAGCCCAAGUGAGAUUAGCUAGUUGGUGAGGUAAAGGCUCACCAAGGCGACGAUCUCUAGCUGUUCUGAGAGGAAGAUCAGCCACACUGGGACUGAGACACGGCCCAGACUCCUACGGGAGGCAGCAGUGGGGAAUAUUGCACAAUGGGGGAAACCCUGAUGCAGCCAUGCCGCGUGUGUGAAGAAGGCCUUCGGGUUGUAAAGCACUUUCAGUUGUGAGGAAAGGUUGGUAGUUAAUACCUGCCAGCUGUGACGUUAACAACAGAAGAAGCACCGGCUAACUCCGUGCCAGCAGCCGCGGUAAUACGGAGGGUGCGAGCGUUAAUCGGAAUUACUGGGCGUAAAGCGCACGCAGGCGGUUUGUCAAGCGAGAUGUGAAAGCCCCGGGCUUAACCUGGGAAUUGCAUUUCGAACUGGCAGGCUAGAGUCUUGGAGAGGGGAGUGGAAUUCCAGGUGUAGCGGUGAAAUGCGUAGAGAUCUGGAGGAACAUCAGUGGCGAAGGCGACUCCCUGGCCAAGACUGACGCUCAUGUGCGAAAGUGUGGGUAGCGAACAGGAUUAGAUACCCUGGUAGUCCCCACCGUAAACGCUGUCUACUAGCUGUGUGUGC
RNAcentral lists this ribosomal RNA (788 nucleotides) under marine Alteromonadaceae bacterium RS.Sph.015. RNAcentral's name for it is "bacterial SSU rRNA". It matches the Rfam family "Bacterial small subunit ribosomal RNA", at positions 47 to 829 of the family's 1533-position model. Lineage: Bacteria; Pseudomonadati; Pseudomonadota; Gammaproteobacteria; Alteromonadales; Alteromonadaceae. The record is from RNAcentral.